AGGCCUGUCUACGAUGUCGAUUUGGAGGUUGUGCCCUUGAGGCGUGGCUUCCGAAGCUAACGCGUUAAAUCGACCGCCUGGGGAGUACGGCCGCAAGGUUAAAACUCAAAUGAAUUGACGGGGGCCCGCACAAGCGGUGGAGCAUGUGGUUUAAUUCGAUGCAACGCGAAGAACCUUACCUACUCUUGACAUCCAGCGAAUCCUGUAGAGAUACGGGAGUGCCUUCGGGAACGCUGAGACAGGUGCUGCAUGGCUGUCGUCAGCUCGUGUUGUGAAAUGUUGGGUUAAGUCCCGCAACGAGCGCAACCCUUAUCCUUUGUUGCCAGCGGUUCGGCCGGGAACUCAAAGGAGACUGCCAGUGAUAAACUGGAGGAAGGUGGGGAUGACGUCAAGUCAUCAUGGCCCUUACGAGUAGGGCUACACACGUGCUACAAUGGCGUAUACAAAGAGAAGCGAACUCGCGAGAGCAAGCGGACCUCAUAAAGUACGUCGUAGUCCGGAUUGGAGUCUGCAACUCGACUCCAUGAAGUCGGAAUCGCUAGUAAUCGUGGAUCAGAAUGCCACGGUGAAUACGUUCCCGGGCCUUGUACACACCGCCCGUCACACCAUGGGAGUGGGUUGCAAAAGAAGUAGGUAGCUU
RNAcentral lists this ribosomal RNA (640 nucleotides) under Edwardsiella tarda. Its description in RNAcentral is "bacterial SSU rRNA". It matches the Rfam family "Bacterial small subunit ribosomal RNA", at positions 796 to 1436 of the family's 1533-position model. Lineage: Bacteria; Pseudomonadati; Pseudomonadota; Gammaproteobacteria; Enterobacterales; Hafniaceae. The record is from RNAcentral.